This is a long non-coding RNA of Drosophila biarmipes, 639 nucleotides long. RefSeq lists it as uncharacterized. The record is from RefSeq and is a predicted model, not a curated record. Lineage: Eukaryota; Metazoa; Arthropoda; Insecta; Diptera; Drosophilidae. The transcript has 2 exons.
GUCUCAUUUCGAGUUCUGCUUCGAGCCGCCGCAGUUGAUUUUAAGCUCACACACGGGCGAAAGGAGCCAUACAUAAAUUUGUGUUCCUCGACUCGCUGGCUUACCAAGUUGUUGGAUGUGUUUCAAACAAAGAGUGCCUCGACUAUCAGAUACCCGUUUGACAAGAAAUUUGAAGAUAAGCUGUGGAAAAUCAACUGUUUUCGGGAUUGUAGUGCUAAUUGAUAUGACAGUUUAGGGACCAGAUGAAGCGUAAUCAAUUCCUGCAGCCAGAUCCCGCCGGGAUAUGAAAUAUAGUGGAUAAAAAUGUAUUUUAUUUAUAUUGAGGCGAACAACACACAUACACAAAUUUAUUGGUAAAAUUGACCAAUUGUUAAUUAUGGCCAAAAAAUAGUUACUAUUACGUAAUACUACGAAAAAUAGUUAUGUUCUUAUAAAAAUAUGUACAAUUAAAUAGCUAUUUUGGGUGAAUUUAAUAUUAUAUUACUUAUAGAUAACAAUAGAAAAAUUCACUCAAAAUAAAAACAGUUGUUUAAUUGUCCUUUUUUUAUAAGUACAUGACUUUUAGAUUGUACGUCACUUAAUUUAUGUAUACGGCGUGUUAAUUUAUUAGCAAAAUAAAAAUAUUUUGUCAAAACUGCA